GACGAACGCUGGCGGCGUGCUUAACACAUGCAAGUCGAACGGAAAGGCCCUGCUUUUGUGGGGUGCUCGAGUGGCGAACGGGUGAGUAACACGUGAGUAACCUGCCCUUGACUUUGGGAUAACUUCAGGAAACUGGGGCUAAUACCGGAUAGGAGCUCCUGCUGCAUGGUGGGGGUUGGAAAGUUUCGGCGGUUGGGGAUGGACUCGCGGCUUAUCAGCUUGUUGGUGGGGUAGUGGCUUACCAAGGCUUUGACGGGUAGCCGGCCUGAGAGGGUGACCGGCCACAUUGGGACUGAGAUACGGCCCAGACUCCUACGGGAGGCAGCAGUGGGGAAUAUUGCACAAUGGGCGGAAGCCUGAUGCAGCAACGCCGCGUGCGGGAUGACGGCCUUCGGGUUGUAAGCCGCUUUCGCCUGUGACGAAGCGUGAGUGACGGUAAUGGAUAAAGAAGCACCGGCUAACUACGUG
RNAcentral lists this ribosomal RNA (468 nucleotides) under uncultured bacterium. RNAcentral describes it as "partial 16S ribosomal RNA". It matches the Rfam family "Bacterial small subunit ribosomal RNA", at positions 28 to 507 of the family's 1533-position model. The record is from RNAcentral.